This 211-nucleotide ribozyme is filed under the name synthetic construct. RNAcentral describes it as "partial sgRNA targeting Lac". The stretch from base 78 to 159 matches the Rfam family "Trans-activating crRNA". The record is from RNAcentral.
GUCGACACGUGGCCUGAUGAGUCCGUGAGGACGAAACGGUAGGAAUUCCUACCGUCGCCACGUUUCUGCGAAAACGGUUUUAGAGCUAGAAAUAGCAAGUUAAAAUAAGGCUAGUCCGUUAUCAACUUGAAAAAGUGGCACCGAGUCGGUGCUUUUUUACCGGAGUCGACUCCGGUCUGAUGAGUCCGUGAGGACGAAAAAAAAAGGAUCC